Panicum virgatum (switchgrass) is the source of this 2567-nucleotide long non-coding RNA. RefSeq lists it as uncharacterized. The record is from RefSeq and is a predicted model, not a curated record. Lineage: Eukaryota; Viridiplantae; Streptophyta; Magnoliopsida; Poales; Poaceae. The transcript is spliced from 4 exons.
UUCACACCGCACAAGCACACAGCCCUCCUCCCACUAGUUCACUUUAUCUUCCCCUUUUCUCUCUCUAGGUUUCAGCUACUUCUCCCUCUCGUGUGUUCAUUUCAUCUCCUCCCAUCUCUCUCUAGGAUUCCUCUCUCUCUCUACCCUCUCGCAUUCCACCCAUGGGCGCUCCUUCAGAUUUCAUCAGAAUUUUGCACGAUCCAGUCGCGGGUUGGAGGAAGGAUGUGCGGGAUUGAAGCAAGGAGGGAGGAGGGGAUGGGGGAGCGCAGAAAUCACCAGGGCAAGGGUUCCUCUCUCUCAUCUCACAUCCACCAGCGAUUCCUGGAUCCCAAUCGAGGGUUGGAGAAAGCAUCUGCAGGAUUGAAGCGGAGGAGAAGGGAUGAGGGUGGAAGCGCAGAAAUCAGGCCAAGGUCAUGGGCAUCAGGGCGUGCGAUUUCGAAAUCCGGUGAGGGAUCCGUUGGUCCCGAUGGAGGGGAAAUGAAAGCUGCAUACUGGAUCCGGUGAGUUCACCCACUCCCGUGCAUGCCCUCUGUUUGUGCAGUUGCUCACCCCUCUGAAUUUUUUGUGCUCCAUUAAGAUAGCAUUUUAUUCUAGUUGCUACCUGGUUGCAGAAAUAUGUACGUACAGGUCUGAAUUAUUGGGGUAUUUUAGUGUGUAUUACCCUGUAGUAGUACCGAUGCCCUGCCUCAAUUCUAGUUUCUGGUGUUUUGGUUUGUCGAAUUCUGUAUGUGCAGGGAAAUGUUUUUGUGUGUGUGGGUGGGGUGGGGCUAGAAAUCAACAACAGGAUGUGUCUUAUGAAUACAUGGCCCUGCAAUAGGACCUAUGCCAGCUUUUUUUUUUGCUGUUUUGGAUUUGUAGAAUCAUUUGGAUGCGGACAGAUACCUACUCCAGUCUGUUUAUAUGGAAUAACCUGAUCACUGAUGAAUCCUCUCUCUAUCUAUGUGUUCUGUAUUCAUGUUGGCAAUAAAAAUGAAUUGGAAGUUUAAGAAACAAUUAAGCAAGUGCAAAACUACAUGUUGGAUGCAUGUAAUCAAUAAACUUUUCCCCUAGCAUUAUCAGAAGCAUUUUAAAAAUUUUUGCAGGCAUUUAAAUACUAUUCAACUAGCAUUUUAAAUGUCCAGUUCAAGCAAUUUUUUUUACAUUUUCAUGUCUCAUGUGAUAGAUUAUCCUUUUUUGUCUGGAACCAAGUUUGUUACAUCAUUACUUUCAUAGGAUAAAUAGAUUAGGUUCCAAUAGAUGAAUAAGCAUAUGACUUUUUUUGAGUGAAAAGUUCCUCGCUCAUUUCCCUAUACAAUUUGGAGCAGUGUGACUUGGUUGACUUGCAAAUCAUGUCUUCCUCUUUACCUGAGCAUUCACCCCCUUAGCUAGUACAUCAUUACUUCUUCCUCUUUUCCGCCAUUUAACUUUUGAUCUUGGUGGGUUGUUUAUGUUUGGCGAUGUUGUUGCAUGACCAGAGGCAGAAAGAUUAGUUGGGUUAUUAAGGAUUUUAUAGUCAAGAUGCCACCAAUAUAAUAUGCCUGCAUGGGCAUAUAAUUAGUUACAGAGCUUCAUUAGGAAGUUAUAAAGUAAUAAUAGCUCUGAGAAUAGGCAAAUAAAUGUACUAUAAUCAGGUAGCAUUGCCAUAAGGUUUGAACAUUGCCAUAAGUUAUAGUGGGUUGUAGCCUUUGUGUAUCUGUGUAGAAAAUCAGUAAAUCUGAAGCCGCAGUUCUUUUUAAUAAAUUGCGUUUGUAUGUGUUCUUAUUUGCCUUUGUCUAUGUCCUAAUUUACUUUUGUAUAUGCACUAUGUGUGUGUUCGAGCUUUUAGUUGUACUGCAACCAUCUAGUUGCUCUCCUUUUGCAAUUAUUGUCUCACUAGUAGUAUUUGGGUUCCAGGAAUGGAGCUUCAAUGCGGUUUCUGAAUGUGAAAUGGUUAUUUUCUUCUUUUUUACAUCAUCAUAAGCAUUUCAAUACUUUGCAGCAGGCAUUUUUGUCAAAUAGUAGAAGCAUUUUCAGGAGUUUCUUAUAGAGAAUUAUAUCAAUUACUAGAAGCAUUUCACUACUUUCCUGUACUGUAGGCAAAUACAUCAAAUACAAGCAUUUCAACACUUCUCAGUAGGCAAAUACAUUAAAUACUAGAAGCAUUUUUAGAACUAGACAAUAAUAUUGGUAGGUAUUGGGCAAUAAUAUUGUUCUUCAUAGGCAAUAAUAUGGGUUACAAUAGAUAUUUUAAUAUUUGAAUUAAUUGUUUGCAAGACCCGAAUUAGUUAUGAUUAUUACAUUUGUAGGUCAUAUGGUUGUGUCCAGAGAAUACGAAUAUUUGAAAUUGUUCAUUUUUAGUUUAGAUUUGUGUUCUAAUCUAAUAUUUUUAUGUUCAGACUACCUGCCAUUUUUUAUUUUUACUAAUUCAAUGCUUGUUUCAUUCAAAAUUCUGAGGAGUCUUGAAGUCUUGUUUUCUAUAGUUUAGAUGAACAGUUCCUUCAUGGUUCAGAAUGCAUUAUUUGUUGCCUGCAAGUUUCUUCAUUGAAUCAGCAACGUAACAUGUUCUUCAGCUUGGUGUUUGGUGGCCUAAAAGUUCAUCCGAUGACAAU